CGCGUAGGCGGCGCUGGCAGUCGGUUGUGAAAGCCCGGGGCUCAACCCCGGAACGGCAACCGAUACUCCAGCGCUGGAGGCCGGAAGAGGAGGGUGGAAUACCCAGUGUAGAGGUGAAAUUCGUAGAUAUUGGGUGGAACACCGGUGGCGAAAGCGGCUCUCUGGUCCGGACCUGACGCUGAGGCGCGAAAGCGUGGGGAGCAAACA
RNAcentral lists this ribosomal RNA (207 nucleotides) under uncultured bacterium. Its description in RNAcentral is "partial 16S ribosomal RNA". It matches the Rfam family "Bacterial small subunit ribosomal RNA", at positions 568 to 774 of the family's 1533-position model. The record is from RNAcentral.